AGAGUUUGAUCCUGGCUCAGGACGAACGCUGGCGGCGUGCCUAAUACAUGCAAGUCGAGCGAACCAAUAAGAAGCUUGCUUUUUGUUGGUUAGCGGCGGACGGGUGAGUAACACGUGGGUAACCUGCCUGUAAGACCGGGAUAACUCCGGGAAACCGGUGCUAAUACCGGAUAGAUUAUCUUUCCGCCUGGAGAGAUAAGGAAAGAUGGCUUUUGCCAUCACUUACAGAUGGGCCCGCGGCGCAUUAGCUAGUUGGUGAGGUAAUGGCUCACCAAGGCGACGAUGCGUAGCCGACCUAAGAGGGUGAUCGGCCACACUGGGACUGAGACACGGCCCAGACUCCUACGGGAGGCAGCAGUAGGGAAUCUUCCGCAAUGGACGAAAGUCUGACGGAGCAACGCCGCGUGAGCGAAGAAGGUCUUCGGAUCGUAAAGCUCUGUUGUUAGGGAAGAACAAGUAUCGGAGGAAAUGCCGGUACCUUGACGGUACCUGACGAGAAAGCCACGGCUAACUACGUGCCAGCAGCCGCGGUAAUACGUAGGUGGCAAGCGUUGUCCGGAUUUAUUGGGCGUAAAGCGCGCGCAGGCGGUCCUUUAAGUCUGAUGUGAAAUCUUGCGGCUCAACCGCAAGCGGUCAUUGGAAACUGGGGGACUUGAGUGCAGAAGAGGAAAGCGGAAUUCCACG
Molecule: ribosomal RNA, 684 nt
Filed under: bacterium enrichment culture
Lineage: Bacteria
Description: bacterial SSU rRNA
Rfam family: Bacterial small subunit ribosomal RNA
Source: RNAcentral